UUUAAUGGCUGCAGUAUAACUGACUGUACAAAGGUAGCAUAAUCAAUUGAUUUUUAAAUGAAAUCUGGAAUGAAAGAAUUAAUGAAAUAUAUACUGUCUCAUAUUUAUUUUAUGAAUUUAAAAUUUUAAUAAAAAUGUUAAAAUUUUUUUAUGGGACGAUAAGACCCUAUAGAAUUUUAUAUUAAAUUAUUUUUGUAGUUAAUAUAAAAUUUAAUUUGAUAUUUAAUUGGGAGAAUUAUUAAAUUUAAAAAAUUUUAAUAUAAAUAAACUUAAAUUAAAGAAAAAAUUUUGAUCUUUAAUUUAAAAUUAAUAGAUUAAAUUACCUUAGGGAUAACAGCGUAAUAUUUUUUUAUAGAUCUUAUAGAAAAAAAUGAUUGCGACCUCGAUGUUGAAUUAAGAUAAAUUUUAAAUGCAGGAG
This 418-nucleotide ribosomal RNA is filed under the name Schwarziana quadripunctata. Its description in RNAcentral is "partial 16S large subunit ribosomal RNA". The record is from RNAcentral. Lineage: Eukaryota; Metazoa; Arthropoda; Insecta; Hymenoptera; Apidae.